GGAGAGAUGUCUGAGUGGCUUAAGGAGCACGCUUGGAAAGCGUGUGUAGGGCAUUUCCCUACCGAGGGUUCGAAUCCCUCUCUCUCCG
RNAcentral lists this transfer RNA (88 nucleotides) under Calditrichota bacterium. RNAcentral describes it as "Calditrichaeota bacterium tRNA-Ser". It matches the Rfam family "tRNA". From Rfam's summary of the family: Transfer RNA (tRNA) molecules are approximately 80 nucleotides in length. Their secondary structure includes four short double-helical elements and three loops (D, anti-codon, and T loops). RNAcentral also lists the same sequence under 1 other name. The record is from RNAcentral. Lineage: Bacteria; Pseudomonadati; Calditrichota.